Long non-coding RNA from Lolium rigidum, 1397 nucleotides. RefSeq lists it as uncharacterized. NCBI's taxonomy places the organism in Eukaryota, Viridiplantae, Streptophyta, Magnoliopsida, Poales, Poaceae. The record is from RefSeq and is a predicted model, not a curated record. The transcript has 2 exons.
GAUUUUUCGACGUGCUUGAUCACGAUCCCGCCUAGGUUGAUUCUUGUCAGUGUCAUGUGUCCCUGACAUGAUUGACUUGAAUAAGUGUCAUUCCAAUAAUUAAAUAGCGAUUCAUAUGUUUGCUUACCUUGGUCUGGAAGAUGCAGAGUUGUAGCCUUUUUAUGUUGGCGUGCGAUCCGCUGCUUCAGUAGGUAUUCCCUUUUCUUUUCAGCAGACAUCCGUGAAUACCAACUCGUACUACUACUUGGUUUCUGUUCUAUAUUCUCAUCAUUAACAGCAAAGUUUAUGUUGUUAGUAGUAGUAAUAGCUAGAUAAGAAUGUUUUUGCACAGAACGUUUCGAAUACUGGUUAUUAUGUGUUACCUUUUUGUGCGAGCUGCUUUGGUUCCGUACAAUUGUCACGCAUCGUAUCUGCAUAUGUCUCAGUUUGAUUUGGCGAUGGUGACACUCCAGCUCCAGCAGUUGGAUGUGCAUCAUCAAACGGAAGCAGCAGUUUUUUCGCAGCCAUGUUUUCAGUUGGAUGUGCAUCAUCAAACGUAAAUGAGUGCCUGAUGAUAAAUUAGAUAUCAGUAGUUGAAUUAGCAUGUGUACAAGAGAUAUCAAUAAUUAAAUUCUGAUUUGUACGUUUCAUACUUUGAUCUGGAAGCUGCCUUGGGUCCUCAGCUGAACUCGUACGAGUUCCAUUUGGCGAUACUGACACUUGAGAUCCAUCCCUAUUUUGCGCAUGAUCAAAGGAAACCAGAAGAUUUUUCCCAGUAAUAAUGUUUUUAGAACAUGGUUCACCUAAAUGAUUUCCUGCUGAUCAAUUUGAUUUAACAUGAUUUGUAUGUAUACAAGAGAUAUCAAAUUGAUUUUAUGUAUAUACCUUUUCCUACAUUUAACGUUGGGUCAUCAACUUUACCAACUGAACCCAAUAGAGCUCCAUCUUUUUUUUUGCGGUAUGCUAUCCGCUUUUUCUGUAGGUAUUCUUCUUUCUUCUGAACAGACAUUUGAGCAUACCGACUCCUAUUACUGCCUUGUUCUUGGUUUUCGUCAGUAGCUUUGUUGGUUAUGUCACUAAAGGGGGUACGAUUUCCUGUUUAUUUAUGACAGGAAAUAAUACAGAUAUUACUGCCUUGAUCUGGUGUGGACAUGACUUAAGAUGGUAUGGCGUACCUUGCUCUUGUUCAUGAUUUGGAGUCUCCGCCUUUUUUUGUUGCCGGGCGAUCCGCUUCUUGUGUAGUAGGUCUUUAAAUGGGGUAUGCCCAUCCGGCGGAGAUUCUGAUGAAUUCUCUUGAUAUAUCAUCUGCUAGGAGUAUUGAGAGCCACGUAUAAUUUUAAUUUUACUGUUAGUGACUGUAAAGUUGGACAUGUUCCCAUUUGAAGAGAGCUCCAGCAGCAAAGUUAUUUAGUGACUUA